Molecule: long non-coding RNA, 466 nt
Organism: Olea europaea var. sylvestris
Lineage: Eukaryota; Viridiplantae; Streptophyta; Magnoliopsida; Lamiales; Oleaceae
Exons: 4
Source: RefSeq, a predicted model, not a curated record
GUUGUGACUAAUGCCACUCCUCAUAACUCACCAUACGAAAAAAAAAAUGUGCAGCCAUGGUACUCCUUUUUUCAGGAUGCCGUAGGAGCAAUCGAUGGUACACAUAUAGCUGCGUAUGUGUCUUUAGAGGAGCAAGGGAUCUGCACAUGAUGGUCGAUUGUUACGGAGUGCAAUAUUACGCCAAGGACAUAAGCUAACAAUUCCUGUUGGUAAAUAUUACCUUGUUGACGCUGGCUUCCCAUCGGUUUCGGGUUUUCUUGCACCAUACCGUAGGACUCGUUAUCAUCGUAGAGACAUUGAAGGUCAACGUCCUGAAAGUAGUAAGGAGUUGUUCAAUUUUCGACAUUCAUCUUUACGUAAUGUUAUUGAGCGUACAAUUGGGUUGCUAAAAAAAAGAUUUGCAUAUUUGAGACAUCAACCCUAUCACGACAUUGACACACAAGCAAAGUAGUCCUUGCCUGUUCUG